Molecule: non-coding RNA, 73 nt
Organism: Stylosanthes scabra
Lineage: Eukaryota; Viridiplantae; Streptophyta; Magnoliopsida; Fabales; Fabaceae
Source: the annotation of a GenBank genome assembly
GCCCGUCUAGCUCAGUCGGUAGAGCGCAAGGCUCUUAACCUUGUGGUCGUGGGUUCGAGCCCCACAGUGGGCG